This 253-nucleotide ribosomal RNA is filed under the name uncultured bacterium. RNAcentral's name for it is "partial 16S ribosomal RNA". It matches the Rfam family "Bacterial small subunit ribosomal RNA", at positions 524 to 776 of the family's 1533-position model. The record is from RNAcentral.
UACAGAGGUCUCAAGCGUUGUUCGGAUUUAUUGGGCGUAAAGAGCGUGUAGGCGGCUUCACAGGUCCGCUGUGAAAACUCGAGGCUCAACCUCGAGCUGUCGGUGGAAACCGUGUGGCUAGAGUCCGGAAGAGGAGAGUGGAAUUCCCGGUGUAGCGGUGAAAUGCGCAGAUAUCGGGAAGAACACCCGUGGCGAAGGCGGCUCUCUGGGACGGUACUGACGCUGAGACGCGAAAGCGUGGGGAGCGAACAGG